RNAcentral lists this ribosomal RNA (474 nucleotides) under uncultured bacterium. Its description in RNAcentral is "bacterial SSU rRNA". It matches the Rfam family "Bacterial small subunit ribosomal RNA", at positions 335 to 801 of the family's 1533-position model. The record is from RNAcentral.
ACUCCUACGGGAGGCAGCAGUAGGGAAUCUUCCACAAUGGGCGCAAGCCUGAUGGAGCAACACCGCGUGAGUGAAGAAGGGUUUCGGCUCGUAAAGCUCUGUUGUUAAAGAAGAACACGUAUGAGAGUAACUGUUCAUACGUUGACGGUAUUUAACCAGAAAGUCACGGCUAACUACGUGCCAGCAGCCGCGGUAAUACGUAGGUGGCAAGCGUUAUCCGGAUUUAUUGGGGCGUAAAGAGAGUGCAGGCGGUUUUCUAAGUCUGAUGUGAAAGCCUUCGGCUUAACCGGAGAAGUGCAUCGGAAACUGGAUAACUUGAGUGCAGAAGAGGGUAGUGGAACUCCAUGUGUAGCGGUGGAAUGCGUAGGUAUAUGGAAGAACACCAGUGGCGAAGGCGGCUACCUGGUCUGCAACUGACGCUGAGACUCGAAAGCAUGGGUAGCGAACAGGAUUAGAUACCCUGGUAGGAUAGCG